GGCACAACUUGCCUUCAAUGAGCUCCUCCUCAGCAACUUCUACCUGCUGAACACCUGGAUCCUCAAUCACUUGCUCGUCUACUCGCCACAAUACACACAAACAUGGUACAAGGGAAAUUAAUGAUCACACCAAACAGAGGAAUAUACUGCAUGAUAAUGUUCUACGCAUCGCAACGAGAUCGUAGGAACAAGAAUCACUAAAUUCGGAGUUACGGAUUUCAAGUUAUGAUUUCCUGAAGGUUUUAUGUGUAUGGUACAAAAAUAAUUAAGUGAGUAAUUUUAAUCUAGGUUUCAUGCUAAAACAGAGUUACUAAGUGAUAAACAAUAUUAAUACAAAAUUAAUGCAACUAGAACAGGUUAAAAAGGAGUUAAAAUGAAUUUUAUAAGAAUUAAAAAGUUCAUGGAAUUGAUUUUGCGCUAAAAAUCAUUUUCUAAAUUAAUUUCUCUAUUUUACUAAAUCUCUGGACUGCGCGCACGAAUAACAGGAAGUUCAGGGUCACUUCUGCAAAGUUUCGGGCCUCACUGUAAUUACUUUAUAAAUGGUUUGGACAACGGGUUGUUUUCUACGAAUUCUAGGGGCUCUUAUGCAAGACUGACGCAUCCGAAGGGGUGUGAUCUAAUCUUGACCGUCCGAUUAAAUACUAGUGGCUCAGAUUAGAUCUAGGUUUCCACGAAGCGGUAUGCGAUGUGGAGUCUCGGAUCCAGAUCCAACGGCUAGGGUUUUAUGAGGCGUGAUCAGCGGUCGACCCUUGGAUUCAAUCGCAAUGGUUCGCGUGUCACGAUCCCGAAGGGUUAUUUCCUAUCUAAUCGGGGUCGUUCGGUGGGGAAUCGACGGUCAGAAGAUCAUCUCCCUCCGACGCUGACCACGCACGGCGGCGUGUCCAGCCGUGGUGGUGUACUCUGGCAAACAUCAGGGUUGCGGCUCUAGAGCUCCUACAGCUAAAUGGUGUGCAUCUACAUGAUCUCCAGAGAAUGGUAAACGCGAUGGGGGUAGGUCAUACCACUGAUUAUGCCACGAAGAUCCCUGUCCACGGUAGAAGGCGGACGACGGCGGCGCCCCCGCUCUGACGAGCAAUUCCGAGUACACCAGACCGCCCCCGGCAUGGGCGAACCACGAGCGCGCUUCUACAAUCCUCUGUUGGCCACCCGCGUGAGUUUCCCGAGACUCAAUCGCAUGUUCACCAGAGAUGGCGCAUGACGGCGGCACUCCUCACCUCGACCUCUCUGGCGCAGGGGUUUUCUG
Molecule: long non-coding RNA, 1243 nt
Filed under: Zea mays
Lineage: Eukaryota; Viridiplantae; Streptophyta; Magnoliopsida; Poales; Poaceae
Description: long non-coding RNA (ZMAY_LNC000776)
Source: RNAcentral